This 1267-nucleotide long non-coding RNA is filed under the name Salvator merianae (Argentine black and white tegu). RNAcentral describes it as "lncRNA (ENSSMRG00000020811.1)". The record is from RNAcentral. Lineage: Eukaryota; Metazoa; Chordata; Lepidosauria; Squamata; Teiidae.
GGCAAAGGCAUCCUUCUUUAACCAGGCCUCAAACUGUCUGCAAUCACGGGUUUGGAUUUUAGCAGACUUUCCUGAUCUUGUUAAGUAUGAGAACAUGAAAACUCUACUUUUGUUGCUAGCCAUGCAGGGAGCAGUAAUGUUGGCCGGUAGCAGGUGGCCAGUGAAAUUUUGAAGCAAAAUAAACAGUCAAUCAUCCUUUGCAGGGGGGAGCAAAAGCUGAAACGUACACGGCCGUGACCUCUCCCCACUACACUGCAGGGCCCGCAGGACUGAGCCCGCGGGGUCAAGAUGGCACAUUCUGGCUCCUGGGUGACCCCCGCCCAAGGGUUCCUGCUGCUUUGGGCUGCGCUGCAUUUUAGUCCCUGGAGCCCCUGGACACUGGCAGAUGAAGAAGACGGGCCCCCACUUCGUGGCCGGCUGCAGCAAAGAGUGCCGAACGAAGGGCAAGGCCUGCACCAAGGCCUCCAGGGCUCCUUGCUACCAGGAGUGCUGCCCAGCAACGCCCAAACUCAGCUGCCUGAAGCUGGACGGCCGCGUGCACUUCAACCGGGCCGGACGGGCCGAUCUGGCCCCGCUCCUCCAGCUCUUAGCUUCCGCAGCAGUCCUGGGACUGAGCUACGUCCUCCUGCCCCCUGCCUCCGGGCCCCAGUGAAGCGGAGCCGAGCCGGGCUCUGCAGCAGGCUUCGGCCCAUAGGCAAAGGAUCCCCCACCCCCCGCUUUCUUCGGCUUGGCUCUUGCUGGGCUGCCCCGGGAGCAGGCAGGAGGGAUGUGCAGAACCCAGGCGGCGCCUUCCGCGCCCCGCUUGCUCCUCGCUGCCAACGGGGCAGGGAUAAGGGAACCCGGCCCCGGCGGCCCCGCGGCUGAUGCGACUUUCCCAGGGAGACGGCCACCCACAGGGCAGACCGCAGCGCCCCCGACGGCAACGCGACCCUCCCAACGGCCUGGCCGGAGGAAGGGCUGAAGGGCACCUGUUGAGGGGCGCACCAGAGGAGGUUCCUCUGCCGCUGAGAGGGACGAAGGAGGCUCCGGAGCCUUGCGGCUGGGCAGGCACGGAGGCCCGCGGAGGCAGCUUGGCUCCUUCGCCCGGGUCGAAGCAACUGGUACCCGAAGGUUCCCUUUUGCCCGGCCCUGCCCUGCGUAACUGUUCCGCCCCCGCCGGUGGGAGCAGCGGAGCGGAGCGGCCGGCUUCUCUUCCGCCACGGCUCGCCUCUCUGGGGCUCCCAGCUCUGGCGCUGCUGUUCUGCCUGCAUCCGCCUUGCAAAUAAAC